AGGGUGAGAGGGUUAUUUAGAAACUGUUUAGUUCAACAUUUAUUGAUGAGGAACCCAAGACCCAGGGAGAUUAAUUGACUGUAUGCAGUCAUGGGCAAAGAGCUAUUAUGAAUCCUUCCAUGAUGUCGUCUGAAAUUAACUUUUUCUUAUAAAUCUGAAUUUUCAUGAAAAUUCUGAAGCUUGAUGACAAGUAAGAAAAUGUAUCAAAAUAUAAUUUUUAUAUAUUAAUAUUAACUUAAAUACAUAAAGAACAUGAAAAUACUAUUUAUUUGAGUGCUUGGUAAGCUAACAUAUUUUCUUAUUUUUCUACUUCACUUCCCAACGACACUCCAAAAAGCAACAAUAAUUAUUCCAAAAUAGCACUUUUUUCCCCUUAUUUAACAUUUUACAGUCUGAUGUUAGGGGAAUACAGUCAACAUAUAUUCUCACAAAAUACUUUGCGUAACAUGCAGUUAACCUUAAAAGGUUGUGUAUGUAUACUAAAUCAGUAUACUGGUCUGUGGUCUAAUAGUCCCCCGUAUUGAUAUAUGCCUAAUUCCAGAACAGUCUGAACACCUCUUCAGGAUCGUUGAAGGCCUGAAGGCCUCUUCAGGUCUGAUUGAUGAGAUUAAGCAUGUCAAAUACACGAACAGCUUGCAGCAAAGGUGACCUCCAGAUGCAGCAAGGACACUGGGUCACCAAGCCUCAGAAGCAAAGACUGAAAAAAGACCUCUCCCUGCUCUGCCUCUCAAGGAAAGGCAGCUCUUGAAUGGGAGAAAAACAAUUAGAAAAUGCAGUAUCUUAAUCCAAGGAAAGCCAAAUAGAGGAAACAGAUGUCUCUUACCGAAUUCUGUAUUUUCUGUUCUUCCAGGUGAAAAAGAAAGCCUUGUGGGGACUUGCAAGCCUUUUGUGUCCUAAGUUAUUGUCUUCCAAACUGCAGAGGUUGAAUCCGGCUUCAGGUUGACCCUUCAGAGUGAAGAGAGAUGCUGUUCCUUUCUUCGUUACCUGCCUAGCACUUCUUCUCUCCCCACUUCCUAUGCAGGGGCCCCAGCCGGGAGCAGGACGAUAGGGGACUUGAUUUUUUUAAGUAAUCUCUAUACCUAAUCUGGGGCUCAGACCUACAACUCCAAGAUCAAGAGUCACCUGCCCCAUCAACUGAACCAGCCAGGUGCCCCUGUUUUUGUCAUUAUUCUUAUUGUCAUAAUUCUGAUGACUAUCUUGUUACAUUUAUAAUACUAAGAAGUUCGUGGGCCAAAUAUAGAAUGAUAACCAUAUUUUAUAAAGUUGCAGAAAGAACCCAGGACAAUGAUUUCAGUGUCUUUUUAUUUGAAUUAUGUCAGCAUAGAAAAAGACCACAAUAGAGUCUUCCUUGUUAUUGUGCACAUUAACAAAGAAUUCUUGCCAGAACAAGACAUAUUGUGUUUGAUGACAUUCAAAUUUUCAUCAGCAAAAACAAAAACAAAAACAAAAACAAUCAUGACCGUUUUAUAAAUGCAUACUCUAAGAAACAAUCACUAGAAACUUACGAGAACCUAUAUCCAUCACCAAUAAUCCCCACUCCUUUCUUUGAAAUCCUCUGACCUCAAAAACAGCAUCCUAAAUUAGCAUCAUGCAUAACCAACCACUAGUUUUCUAUGUGGGAAACUACCCAAGUGGCUGAGAUUGUACACUGUGGAGGUGUCGAGAUCUGGGCUCAAAUCCUAUCUCCUCCACUUACCUGUCUGUGGGGCAGGUUACUUAACCUGCGCUAGCCUCAGGUGUCUUAAUAGUAAAAAUGGGGCUAAAGGAGUAACUAAAGCUCAUAAAGUUGCUGCAGGGAUUAAAUAAGAUAAUGCACAUUAAGAGAUGAGAGAUUAACGUGUGUGUGAGUGUGUGUGUAUGUGUGUGUAGAAUGAGCACUGAAAAAAUAUUGAUUAUGUUGAUAAACACUAUCUUUUUAUCUGUAUUAGAAGUUUUUGUACUUUUUUGGAGAAACCUUUGUAUCUCACUUAAUUAUUUAUUUCAUGACAUUGUAGGGCUCCUAAUCAAUGCCAGUGUUUCAGUCUCUCUGAUCCCUGGCCCUUGGAAUCUGAAGCAGAAAUAAAAGUACAUAUUAAGUACCCUGAGCAAGUUUGAUAUUUACAGUGUACCGAGUCCUUUGUAAGGUGGACACUCAUUUAUUUCCAUUCUGAAACUUCAAGUCGUUAGAUAUUGAAUUUUAUUAGAGUAGUUUUCAUAGGGCAGGGUUAACAGUUUGCAAAACUGAUAAAAGAGACAUUUUUAUCUUAUUGUUGUUUUAAUUUGCAUUUCUCUCAUCACUGGUAUGGUUGAGCAUCACUUGAAAUGUUUGAAUGAUCUGUUUCCAUGCUUUGCCCACUCUUUUAUUGGAUAGUUUGUCCUUUUAAUUAUUACUGUCUACAAAGAUUCUUUAUUUUUAUUGUUUGCUAGAAUUCUUUAUAUUUGUUGUCUAUAAGAAUUUUCUUUGUUUAUACUAUCCUUAUAUAAUCAUAUAUAUAUAGAGAGAGAGCCUACUUGAGAUUCUGUCUCCCCCUCUCUGCCCCUCCCCCGCUUGCUCUCUCUCUCUUUCUCAAAAUAAAUUAAAAACAAAAAAAUUCAAAAAAGAAACAUCUUGGUAACUAUCCUUUUUAGUCAUUUGUCUGUGUGUGUGUGUGUAUAUAUAUAUAUAAUUUAUUUAAAAUGUAUAUUACAUGUUAUUUUAUAAUCUGACUUUCCCCCCAUCUCUAUAUUUUGCACAUAUUUCUAUGUCACUAAAUACUUUCCUACAAUAUAAUUUUAGUUUCUAGGUAGAAUUCUAUUAUAUGUCUAUAUUAUAAUCUAUUUAAUAAUCUCUUAUUAUCAGAAAACUUUUUGCAAU
Molecule: long non-coding RNA, 2833 nt
Organism: Panthera uncia (snow leopard)
Lineage: Eukaryota; Metazoa; Chordata; Mammalia; Carnivora; Felidae
Exons: 3
Source: RefSeq, a predicted model, not a curated record